This 874-nucleotide ribosomal RNA is filed under the name Psychrobacter sp. RNAcentral's name for it is "bacterial SSU rRNA". It matches the Rfam family "Bacterial small subunit ribosomal RNA", at positions 9 to 873 of the family's 1533-position model. The record is from RNAcentral. Lineage: Bacteria; Pseudomonadati; Pseudomonadota; Gammaproteobacteria; Moraxellales; Moraxellaceae.
UAGAGUUUGAUCAUGGCUCAGAUUGAACGCUGGCGGCAGGCUUAACACAUGCAAGUCGAGCGGAAACGAUGGGAGCUUGCUCCCAGGCGUCGAGCGGCGGACGGGUGAGUAACACUUAGGAAUCUACCUAGUAGUGGGGGAUAGCUCGGGGAAACUCGAAUUAAUACCGCAUACGACCUACGGGAGAAAGGGGGCAGUUUACUGCUCUCGCUAUUAGAUGAGCCUAAGUCGGAUUAGCUAGAUGGUGGGGUAAAGGCCUACCAUGGCGACGAUCUGUAGCUGGUCUGAGAGGAUGAUCAGCCACACCGGGACUGAGACACGGCCCGGACUCCUACGGGAGGCAGCAGUGGGGAAUAUUGGACAAUGGGGGGAACCCUGAUCCAGCCAUGCCGCGUGUGUGAAGAAGGCCUUUUGGUUGUAAAGCACUUUAAGCAGUGAAGAAGACCUAACGGUUAAUACCCGUUAGCGAUGACAUUAGCUGCAGAAUAAGCACCGGCUAACUCUGUGCCAGCAGCCGCGGUAAUACAGAGGGUGCAAGCGUUAAUCGGAAUUACUGGGCGUAAAGCGAGCGUAGGUGGCUUGAUAAGUCAGAUGUGAAAUCCCCGGGCUUAACCUGGGAACUGCAUCUGAUACUGUUAAGCUAGAGUAGGUGAGAGGGAAGUAGAAUUCCAGGUGUAGCGGUGAAAUGCGUAGAGAUCUGGAGGAAUACCGAUGGCGAAGGCAGCUUCCUGGCAUCAUACUGACACUGAGGCUCGAAAGCGUGGGUAGCAAACAGGAUUAGAUACCCUGGUAGUCCACGCCGUAAACGAUGUCUACUAGUCGUUGGGUCCCUUGAGGACUUAGUGACGCAGCUAACGCAAUAAGUAGACCGCCU